CAUGUGUGUGUGUGUAAGAGAGAGAGAGAGAGGAAAAAUAGAGAGGAAAGUGUUCUUUUAUGCCCAGCUACUGUUUUUGUUUGUGAAAACUAUCUUGUUAAAUUUGAUCUACUGUGAGAUAUUUUGUAA
This is a long non-coding RNA of Telopea speciosissima, 129 nucleotides long. RefSeq lists it as uncharacterized. The transcript has 3 exons. The record is from RefSeq and is a predicted model, not a curated record. NCBI's taxonomy places the organism in Eukaryota, Viridiplantae, Streptophyta, Magnoliopsida, Proteales, Proteaceae.